RNAcentral lists this long non-coding RNA (451 nucleotides) under Lathyrus oleraceus (garden pea). Its description in RNAcentral is "Pisum sativum (pea) long non-coding RNA (PSAT_LNC030985)". Lineage: Eukaryota; Viridiplantae; Streptophyta; Magnoliopsida; Fabales; Fabaceae. The record is from RNAcentral.
AUUCGGUUUCAAAGUCAAUCAGUUUCAUUCGAAUGCCAUUCAAAAUACAUUAACCCACUCAUUCAUAAAAGAUCCAUCACAAAACAUGAAAAUGUCCAAAACAUGAAAAAUUACAAGAAGUUACAACUUUGACCAAUUGUUGACUUUGGUCAACAAUUGACUUUUUGGUCAACUUUGACCAAAGUCAACCCAAUCCCUUUCCAUCAAAAAAACCUAGACCCCCAAUUAUGAUCCUAGCCCUAUCUUCCAAGUUGACCAUUGAUCCUCCGGUUUUUGCCAAGUGUGCAUGAUUUCCUCAAAAUCCAAUUAUAUGUCAUGUUGCUUAAACCCACACAAGCCAAAACAACACUUUAAUGCAGAACCAUACAUCACCAUAUGACUGCACUCUCCUUGCACCAAGACCUGCUAUGAAACGUGAGCAGACAUGACCCUAAAGAACCAAGCGGCCACA